GAUGAACGCUGGCGGCGUGCUUAACACACGCAAGUCGAACGGAAAGGCCGAAGCUUGCUUCGGUACUCGAGUGGCGAACGGGUGAGUAACACGUGGGUGAUCUGCCCUGUACUUCGGGAUAAGCUUGGGAAACUGGGUCUAAUACCGGAUAUGACGAUCUCUUGGAUGGGGUUGUGGAAAGCUUUUGCGGUAUGGGAUGAGCUCGCGGCCUAUCAGCUUGUUGGUGGGGUAAUGGCCUACCAAGGCGUCGACGGGUAGCCGGCCUGAGAGGGUGUACGGCCACAUUGGGACUGAGAUACGGCCCAGACUCCUACGGGAGGCAGCAGUGGGGAAUAUUGCACAAUGGGCGCAAGCCUGAUGCAGCGACGCCGCGUGGGGGAUGACGGCCUUCGGGUUGUAAACUCCUUUCGCAAUCGACGAAGCCUUUUGGUGACGGUAGGUUGAGAAGAAGCACCGGCUAACUACGUG
RNAcentral lists this ribosomal RNA (468 nucleotides) under uncultured bacterium. Its description in RNAcentral is "partial 16S ribosomal RNA". It matches the Rfam family "Bacterial small subunit ribosomal RNA", at positions 28 to 507 of the family's 1533-position model. The record is from RNAcentral.